AGUGAACGCUGGCGGUAGGCCUAACACAUGCAAGUCGAACGGCAGCACAGUAAGAGCUUGCUCUUACGGGUGGCGAGUGGCGGACGGGUGAGGAAUACAUCGGAAUCUACUUUUUCGUGGGGGAUAACGUAGGGAAACUUACGCUAAUACCGCAUACGACCUACGGGUGAAAGCAGGGGAUCUUCGGACCUUGCGCGAUUGAAUGAGCCGAUGUCGGAUUAGCUAGUUGGCGGGGUAAAGGCCCACCAAGGCGACGAUCCGUAGCUGGUCUGAGAGGAUGAUCAGCCACACUGGAACUGAGACAUGGUCCAGACUCCUACGGGAGGCAGCAGUGGGGAAUAUUGGACAAUGGGCGCAAGCCUGAUCCAGCCAUACCGCGUGGGUGAAGAAGGCCUUCGGGUUGUAAAGCCCUUUUGUUGGGAAAGAAAAGCAGCAGGUUAAUACCCCGCUGUUCCGACGGUACCCAAAGAAUAAGCACCGGCUAACUUCGUG
RNAcentral lists this ribosomal RNA (492 nucleotides) under uncultured bacterium. RNAcentral's name for it is "partial 16S ribosomal RNA". It matches the Rfam family "Bacterial small subunit ribosomal RNA", at positions 29 to 507 of the family's 1533-position model. The record is from RNAcentral.